AUCAGUUUACUUGAGAUCAGCGCAAUAAGCGUACUGAAAAAGUGCUUAACAGCUUAUCUAACUGCGUGCAGUGGUUUCUGCUAAAUUUAAAAAAUAAGAUGUCACUGGGGCCCAAAAGUGUUUGUCUGACGAUUGGCGUUCUAUUUUUUGCCGCCUUUACGAGUAUGUUGACAGUUAGAGCAAAUCCAAUAGGAGUUCAAACAGAAAAGCCAUCGGAUCCAUUGAUUCUGGAAGAUUGGAAUGGAAAUACAAAUGCAAAUACUAAUUCUGUGUAUAGUGCAGAUAAUCGUCAAAUAGUCAUAAAUAACGUUAUUACGACAAAAAAGGAUUCUUCUUCAGAUUACAGUGAUUAUAGCGGUUGUUUUUUGCUAUUCUGUUGAAUAUAAAUAAAUUUAGCAAAAAAAUAUUAAGUAAGUAAGUAAGGGAAAGUAAAUUCAUUAUGAAGUGGCAAAGCAAACUGUGUAUACGAUUAAAUCAAGUAAAAACUGUCAAAAAUUCUUACUUCGAUAUAAGUA
Molecule: RNA transcript, 515 nt
Organism: Bactrocera dorsalis (oriental fruit fly)
Lineage: Eukaryota; Metazoa; Arthropoda; Insecta; Diptera; Tephritidae
Exons: 2
Source: RefSeq, a predicted model, not a curated record